UCAACAUUUGCUCAAACAACGUGCUUUCAACAAUUUUUUUUUUUUUUUUGAUAAUUUUUUGCAUUAAAAUUUGAUAAAAGUUAAUAAUUAAAAUUUUCUGUAAAAAUGUCAGAAAAAUUAUCUUCUCCUGAUUUGGCGAGAAAUGAUGAUAUUGUACCUGAAGGCAUUCCAACGAUUGUUGAUAUUGCCGCUAACAAAUCCUGUGGAAAGAAAAAUCCGCCAAACAUACCAAAAAAAACGACUGCUUUUCAAAAAUCUUCUGACAAAAAUGAAAAUGAUGAAAAAAAAUUUGCAUCAUCAGAACCUUCAAAAAAUAUGCAAGUAGGAUCUUCGAAGCCAGGAAAUAAUUCAGGAAAAUCUUUGAAUCAGUUACAAGAGGAUGCUUUAAAUGACAUUUUUUAAUUUAAUUUAUUUUUUUUUUUGUAAAUAUUUUAAAUUAAUAUUUGAAAAAAAAAUAUUAAAAAAAUAAAAAUAAAAAAAAAUUAAAAAUAAUAAAGACAAGAAAUUUC
Molecule: long non-coding RNA, 509 nt
Organism: Culicoides brevitarsis
Lineage: Eukaryota; Metazoa; Arthropoda; Insecta; Diptera; Ceratopogonidae
Exons: 3
Source: RefSeq, a predicted model, not a curated record